UUAUCCGACCGCACCCAAUUCCAAUCCCCACCCACCGUCGUGCUCCAUCCAUCCUCCCUCCAAGCCGCCAGCCAAACUCCAAUCCAGCCGCCGCCAUCCAGACUCCAUCUCGCAGUCUUUGGAUGGAGCUGCUGUUCAUGAAACCCUAGGUCACCGGCGACCUUGCAGCCUACGGGCGGCGCCACCCAUCCUCCAGCUCACCGGCGGCGUCCAGCUUGCACCCACCGCCACCCAUUAGCCUCCAGCUCGCCGGCGGCCUUCCCAAACCGACCGUCGCGUCCUUUUGGUCCGUGAGAUUCUGGACGCUCGCAGCCCAACGCCAUCUUCAAGCCCCUCCCGUCGCCGUCGCAAGCCAUCGACGGAACCCUAGCUCAUCGGCGUGCUUGCUUGAAGGUUUCGCCUCUGUCCACCCGUCGCUGCUGAAGGACCCCUCCAUCACCACAUCCCUCGUUCCUGGAAGGAUCCAAACCCUGCCACUAGUAUUGCCAGCACCAAGAACUUCUUGUUAUGGCGCCGAAGGGUGUGCCAAAGAAACCAAAAUGAUGUCCUAUAGCAGCACCAGCGCUCAAUCCAUAUCAAAUGGUGCGCCUGAGACAAUGCAUGAGCAACAGUGCAAGGCUGAAGGAACUUGGACUUUCUGAUCGUGAGUACAGCCGAGUUUGGGCACAAGAUGUUGCUGGUCAUGACAAGAAUCAAAGUGAAGGUGUUCAGUCUGACAAGUAUCAAAGUGGAGACUCUGAGUCUGAGUAUGAUCCUUUACAGGAUGAUAAUGGGGAAGGAGGUUCGAUAGAUAAUGACAAUGCUAAGUGCUCUAAGGAGAAGUCUCGCAAGAAAACUAAGAACCAACAUUCUGGUGGAGUCAAGUUUCAGUCUCGCAAGAGAGUUUUUGCAGACCAAACACCUAGAGUUACAAGGACAAGGGUUGCCCAGCAAGGUGCAAGUAUCACACCAAGUGACAUUUGUGCGCCGCCUACAUCACAAGCUAAUGAGAGCCAUGCUGGAGAACUUGUUGGCAACUUAGAUGACCACACACAGGCUGCUUU
Sorghum bicolor (sorghum) is the source of this 1043-nucleotide long non-coding RNA. RefSeq lists it as uncharacterized. NCBI's taxonomy places the organism in Eukaryota, Viridiplantae, Streptophyta, Magnoliopsida, Poales, Poaceae. The transcript has 4 exons. The record is from RefSeq and is a predicted model, not a curated record.